UUCUGAGGGAAGACAUAGUAAUGAAAGCUCCUUAAAUAAUACAUAAAAAGGGAUAUUUACAGCUGCCAUCGAGUAAACCAAAUGAAAAACUGUUCGUAAAAUUAUUUUCUACACGAAAAAUCGACAAAGUCUAAAUCGUUCACAUCACACGCAAGUAAAUCAGACUUAAGGAUGGAACUUAUGGAGGCGUGAUGAAGUGCCUACGCCUAAAGACUGCACUCAAGGUACUCCGUCGGCGACCACGUGCCCGCCGUAGGUGAGCGCAGCUGCGUUAAUAAAGUUAAACAUAGACCGCGACAGGCCUGACAGCACCCCCCGCCAGUGGGCCGCGAGCACCGCAGGCCUCCGCGCAGGUCUGAGGCAGUGAGCAUACUCGACCACCAUCGCAGGCUCUCGGCCGAGACACGCAACGAUUACUAUAACAACUAAUGGCAAGAAAGCAAGGGCGACCAUACCGACUCGCCAUUCGAACCACAUAGCUAGAAACAGCGCUAAGCCAAUGGAUCCAACUCCUUGUAAAAUUAUACCAAUACGUUGACCUGUGGCCUUUCAAAUUAACAAAAAUAUUUAAAAAAUCAUCUAACCUCCAACAUUUAGGUAUGAAAUGUUUAAAUGAAACUAAUAUUUUUCGGAUAUACUAAGCGAAUUUUAUUAUUUUAAAACUACAUUAUCCCGACGUUUCGGUUACUUUUCAGCAAGCGUGAUAACGGGCAGACGAGAUAUAGUUUCGCAGUAUAUCCGAAAUAUAUUAGUUUCAUUUAAAUGAAUUAAACUCGCGAAAGUCUUAGAUCUCAUUAUUCAUGAAAUAUGAUUAAUUGAAUCUGAUGUAAAUUGCAUUGUCCUAUUAAAAUACAGCCAUUUUAUACAAAUAA
Molecule: long non-coding RNA, 872 nt
Organism: Danaus plexippus (monarch butterfly)
Lineage: Eukaryota; Metazoa; Arthropoda; Insecta; Lepidoptera; Nymphalidae
Exons: 3
Source: RefSeq, a predicted model, not a curated record